UUUUAGCCAUUCAGAAAAGUAUGAGGUGAUAUCCUAUAGUUUUGAUUUUCUUUUUUUUCUUUUUAAUUUUUAUUUAUUUAUGAUAGUCACACAAGAGAGAGAGAGGCAGAGACACAGGCAGAGGGAGAAGCAGGCUCCAUGCACCGGAGCCCGACGUGGGAUUCGAUCCCAGGUCUCCAGGAUCGUGCCCUGGACCAAAGGCCCGCGCCAAACCGCUGCGCCACCGAGGGAACCCUAGUUUUGAUUUUCAUUUCCCUGAGAAUGAGUGAUGUUGAGCAUCUUUUCAGUUGUCUAUUGGCCAUGGAUGCCUUCUUUGUAGAAAGAUCUGUUCAUGUCUUCUAUUUUUUAAUUAGAAAAAUAACUUUUUUUAAAAAAGAAAACGUUGGAGGAAGAUCUCAAUGUAUCAUUUAAAAGAAACAACAAAUAUAAUUAAUGCAUGUAAAUCAAAUUUGCAACAUGACAAAACGACACACAAGUCUCUAGGUUAUUACAAAUCUAAAGUAAUUUUUAAAAACAAUCCCAAAACAAAUUAUGAUGAAUGCCAAAGAUAACAACAGAAACUUGUAUUGGUUGUUUCAAGACUAAAAAGUAUCUAAAAAGUCCACAACAUUUUAGGGAGAUUGUUAAUAACAUACUCCAUAAAACUAGUUAAGAAUUCACCCCAUAUUAUCAAAUACAGAAGGUCAUUUGUGAUGGAAAUAUGAAAAACAUCGCCUGGAGAAGAAAUCAGAGAAGUUCUCAGUUCCAUCCAACUCAUCAUCUUCCUUCAUAAGCGCACUACUCCAUAUUCAUGCAUUAUGCCUAACUACAUUAAGAUUAUAAGGAAAAAGCAAAUCAGAUUGUACUCUAUUUUCUUGCCAAGUGAACACUGUGAAAUAUAUCGACCUCUGCCUCUAGCAACUUGUUGGCUGAAAGUAGGAAAAGUUACUAAAAGCUUAUUUUUCUGUCAGUAGCUAACUUGGAAAAAUUAGGAGUAAUCAUACAGUGGAAAAUGUACUUUUUAGUUUCCGAUAUAGUGGCAAUAUCUGCUAGUCAUUCAGACGUAAAAGGGUACCCAUGAAAUAGUUUUUUGCAAGCCCAUUUUCACUAACUAAAAAAAUAAAAUACCAAAAACGUCAUGCUCACAGAGGUAUACAAUAGCUGUUUACAAUUAAAACAACUAACAUAUUCCAGGGCCUUGUCCUAUGACAUCACAAUAUUCCGUUUCAAGGGGUAAAAAAUUUUGGAUUUCAUUCAUUUGGUGAAUAUUUAUUGAAUGCUUAUGUCCUACAGACUCCAUUCUGGGUACUAAACAAAUUCAUAAAAUUGUGUUCUCAUAUAAUUUAUAUUCUAAUGGUAUAGAAUGAAAAAUAAGUAAACCCACAAUGAAGAAAAAGAAAAGAAAUAUCCAACAUAAUUUCUAUGUGGGAAUUAAGUUAAUGUGGUCAAGAGUAAAUUUAGGUCUUCAGGGAAGAUCUCUGGUCUGUCUAAUUCCUUAAUGAAAAGCAAAAAUGAGACAUAGAGGUACCCGGGGAAGCAUUCUAGGUAGAGUGAAUAGCCUGUAGACCUCAAGGCAAGACAAUAUUUCGUGUAUUUAAGGAUCUGAAAGAAAGCCAUUGUGGUUGAAAUGUCAUGGACAAUGCAAACUGUUAUUAGUUUCCUAGGGCUGUCAUCACGAAUCACCACAAACUGAUGCCUCAAAGCAAAAGAAAUUCAUUCUCUCAUUGUUCUAGAGACCAAAAUAUCUGAAAUCCAGCUUUCAGCCAGGUCCUGUUGUCUCAGAAUGUUCCAGCUUUUCUUAGGUCACAAUCCUAAAUUGUGGGCAAUCCUUGGCAUUUUUGGCUCUUUUCUUGCCUCCCUUCCUAGCUCGUUGUGGUUGUGGGCAAUCCUUGGCAUCUUUGGCUGUAGUUGAAUAAUUUCAAUUUUGUCUCCACCUUGCAUGGCCAUCCUCCCUUUGCAUGCGUCUGUUGUCUGUGCCCAAACCAGCUCUGCUUAUAAAAACACUAGUCAUUGGAUUUAGUGGCUCCCCUAACCCACUGCGACCAUAUCUUGAAUUGAUCACAUCUACAAAGGCCCUAUUUUCAAAUAAGGUCACAUUCACAAGUACCAAGGGUUACAACUUCACCUUAUUCUGGGGAAUUCAAAUUAACCAACAACAGGAACUAAUAAAAAUCUUGCACGAACUAAAUACUAAAUGAUGACAUUGAUCAUGAGAAUGUAAACAUAUUCACAGUUUUCUUCUGUGAUAUUGUAAAAAAUACUUUUCUCUAAAUAAAAAGAGUGAUCAUAAAGUCAUACUAUAACUGCCAUCUCAUGGGGAGCUUACUCCUAUUACAGGAAACUAUGCUCCCUAUAACCCUUUGGUAACUUAUAUAUCUCUGAUCUAUCAUAUUUAAAAACAUGCAUAUUCGCUAUUUUUAUAUAUCAUUAAAGGCAAAUCAAAGACAAGGAAAUAAUCAGUUAUAUGAGGCUCUUGCCAACAAAGAGAUAAUAUUCCUGUUCAAGAGACACAUUUUCUACCCCCGGAGUUGCUAUGUAAGCAGCUUCUCACUUGGAGAUUCAUACUGAGGGCACUUAAAGUGGAUAUUACACUCACUGUUGAGGUUUACAUUUCACAGCAAGGUUCAAUGCUUGUUUAAUAAAGCAAGUCCAAAACCUGAGUGAAAAAAACUAUUAGAAGAUUAAAAGAUCAUAUGAUCCAACCUUACUUACAUCAAUGAUUCUAAUCUUUUUCUAUCUCCAUACUAUUCACAUUUGCCAGAAAGUCCUCUAAGAUCUCUCAUUAGAAUGAGAGUUUCUAGACUUGCAUCAGUACACACCUGGGAUGCAGGGUGUUUAAAUUCAUAGGCCCCAUUCUAUGGCAUCACAGAGCUCCUGCAUUUCCUCAUCUCUAAAAAAAUAGGAAUACAAAAUAAAUUUCAUAUUUCAGUAAAAGAAAUUUUAAAUAAAUUAUAAAUAUGAUUAUAAAUUAGAAGCAACUUAUAAAAUCAGGAUACUUUGGUGACUGUCGGUUAAGCAUCUGCCUUUGGCUGGGGUCAUGAUCUCAGGGUUCUGGGAUUGAGCCCCAUGAUGGGCUCCCAGCUCAGCUCUGCUCCUUUCUCACCCUGCUUAUGCUCUCUCUCUCUCUCUCAAAUAAAUAAAAUCUUUUUUUAAAAAAAGUAAAUUAUAAAAUAUGAAUAUAAACACUUGGCACAGUACCUGAUGUGCAAAUAAUCACUAAAUGGCUUAUGUCAGUUUUAAUAACCUAUAUAUAUAUAUCAAUCAGAAAUAGGUUUUGGCCUUUUUUUUUUUUUUUUUUUUUUUUUUUUGGUAAGUAGGCUCCAUGCCCACCAUGGAGCCCAACACAGGGCUUGAAAUCACAACCUUGAGAUCAAAACCUAAACUGAGAUCAAGAGUCGAUGUUUAACUGAUUGAGCCACCCAGGCACCCGUUGGCUGAUUUUAUUCAGUACCAACUCUUAGGGUACUCUUUAAUAGAAAAUAGAAGAGUCUUAUAUUGAGAUUAAAUAUAAGCAUAAAUUUUUUAAAGUAAUUAUGUAUUAUUAUAAAUGUAUUAUAAAUAAUACAUUAACAUUUUAAUACAAAUAUAAUACAUUUGCCUCUCGUUAUGGUUAUGUUCUUUAUCCUUACUUAUGGUGCUCCUUUCUAAGUCCUGGAAUUAAUAACUUUUCCUGCCUACCAAAAUUUAACUGUACUUCCUCAUUUUCCUCCAAAACAGAACUCUUCUCUCUGCUUUUCAAUUUUGAUACUUAGUAAAUCUGAUGAAAAUGUCCCUGUUAAUAGUGUGAUGGCAAUGCAUUCCAGCACCUAUUUCUAGAUCCAGAUAAUACAUAACAGUUCCAAAAAUACAUAGCAUGUAUUUGGUAGCCUCCCGGAGACAAUGAUUUCACAUCUGUUGUAGUUUCCAAAAGAGGGAUUUCAAUGGUGUGAAUUUAAAGCCAGGAAAAAGAGGAAAUGAUGACAAGGUACGAUGAAAAAGGCAAUUCUCAGGGAUCCUCCAAUUUCCUCUCUAUAAGUUCUUCCAUUUUAGCAAUAAUCAUAUCUUUACACAAAUGUGAUAAAGUUCCCUCAUACUUCAAGCAUUGUCAAUAUAAAGUUUUUAGAUCUUUAGCAGCAGAUGACAGAGGUGCUUUUAAUCACACAUAUAGACACACACACUUCACAUGACCAGUAUUUAUUAUGUAUCCAUUCAAACAUACACUCUG
RNAcentral lists this long non-coding RNA (4183 nucleotides) under Canis lupus familiaris (dog). RNAcentral describes it as "lncRNA (ENSCAFG00845018346.1)". Lineage: Eukaryota; Metazoa; Chordata; Mammalia; Carnivora; Canidae. The record is from RNAcentral.